Molecule: ribosomal RNA, 459 nt
Filed under: uncultured bacterium
Lineage: Bacteria
Description: bacterial SSU rRNA
Rfam family: Bacterial small subunit ribosomal RNA
Source: RNAcentral
ACGACUACACUCCUACGGGAGGCAGCAGUGGGGAAUAUUGCACAAUGGGCGGAAGCCUGAUGCAGCGACGCCGCGUGAGGGAUGACGGCCUUCGGGUUGUAAACCUCUUUCAGCAGGGACGAAGCGUAAGUGACGGUACCUGCAGAAGGAGCACCGGCUAACUACGUGCCAGCAGCCGCGGUAAUACGUAGGGUGCGAGCGUUGUCCGGAAUUACUGGGCGUAAAGAGCUCGUAGGCGGUUUGUCACGUCGUCUGUGAAAUCCUAGGGCUUAACCCUGGACGUGCAGGCGAUACGGGCUGACUUGAGUACUACAGGGGAGACUGGAAUUUCUGGUGUAGCGGUGGAAUGCACAGAUAUCAGGAAGAACACCGAUGGCAGGUCUCUGGGUAGUAACUGACGCUGAGGAGCGAAAGCAUGGGUAGCGAACAGGAUUAGAAACCCGAGUAGUCCACCAAUCC